This 492-nucleotide ribosomal RNA is filed under the name Triticum aestivum (bread wheat). Its description in RNAcentral is "partial small subunit ribosomal RNA". The record is from RNAcentral. Lineage: Eukaryota; Viridiplantae; Streptophyta; Magnoliopsida; Poales; Poaceae.
AUGCAUCAGAUUCCUACUUCUCUACCUACCAAUCGGAUCAUUCGUUCCGUUGGAGAGCUCUCUCACGGUGGCGCCGCGCGCAUGGCUCUAGGCAGCAGGCUGAAGCUCCUCGUCCUCCUCUCAAGAUGGGUCAGCUUGAUACUCGCCUGCACGGCGGCGGCCAUCGUCGGCGAGGCCAGCCAACCGUUCCCGGCCAACCAGUUCAUGUGGUGGAUUCUGUGCUUCGGAGGCCUCCUGUGGGGUUUGGUGCUGCUAAUGUUCCAGUUCGUCUGGCCGUGUAUGGAGGGCUUUGAGCCCGGAAAUGUGGCGCUCCUGGUACUGGUCGCCGUCGACUGGGCCGUCGCGUGUCUCACCGCCGGCUCGGCGUGCGCCGCCCUCGCCGCCAACCAGUACGCCAUCCAGCACCAGUAUAAGGACUGUGGCCCGAAGACUGGAUUUUCUCCCAUGCACGGGAGGUCCCGUGCAUGGUCCAGCCAUUCGUUCUUGCGCUGA